AUUUUCGGCAGGUGUCGGGCUUUGAGGACCACCACGGUCAGUCUCUGUGCCACGGGCUGGUAGGACAGAGACACCUGGAGCUCCCCUCUGCUAAUGCACUUCUGCGAAGAGGAAACAGCAGGGAGGGAAACGGACACAGUCUCAUCACAGUCCUGAUACGAAACGGAACCAUCUGCACGAGAGGCCGCCUCGCCGGGUGUUCCCACACGCGCGACUCUGAGGCCAGACUGAUCUGGCUGCGCCCCCUCUGUGUGACCUGGACGAGAACUGGACGGCUCUGUGCUCCAAUUUCCUCGUCUGAAGGUGCAGAUAAAAACAGCACCGACCUCAGAGCUUCAUCAGGAUUAAUUAAACGGAGAUAGAGACAGCCAGCGAGAGAGGGAACACAAGCAGGGGGAGUGGGAGAG
Long non-coding RNA from Ailuropoda melanoleuca (giant panda), 407 nucleotides. RefSeq lists it as uncharacterized. The transcript has 3 exons. Lineage: Eukaryota; Metazoa; Chordata; Mammalia; Carnivora; Ursidae. The record is from RefSeq and is a predicted model, not a curated record.